AAUACUAUCAAGUACUUUCCGUAUUCUAUUUUCCUCGUAAGAAAGUUGGGUUCGGACAAGGUUCAAUUCCUUGGAAGCAUUG
This 82-nucleotide transfer RNA is filed under the name Cyclobacterium qasimii. RNAcentral describes it as "tRNA-Thr". Lineage: Bacteria; Pseudomonadati; Bacteroidota; Cytophagia; Cytophagales; Cyclobacteriaceae. The record is from RNAcentral.